AUUGAACGCUGGCGGCAGGCCUAACACAUGCAAGUCGAGCGAGCGGCGGACGGGUGAGUAAUGUAAGGGGAACUGCCCGAUAGAGGGGGAUAACUACUGGAAACGGUGGCUAAGACAGCAUACUAUCGGAUGAACCCAUAUGGGAUUAGCAAGGAGGUGGGGUAAAGGCUCACCUAGGCGACGAUCUCUAGCUGGUCUGAGAGGAUGAACAGCCCCACGGGGACUGAGACCCGUCCCAGCCUCCUACGGGAGGCAGCAGUGGGGAAUAUUGCACAAUCGGCGCCAGCCUGUUGCAGCCAUGCCGCGUGUAUGAAGAAGGCCUUAUGUUUGUAAAUUACUUUCAGCUGGUCGGCGUUACCCGCAGAAGAAGCACCGGCUAACUCCGUGCCAGCAGCCGCGGUAAUAC
This 406-nucleotide ribosomal RNA is filed under the name uncultured bacterium. Its description in RNAcentral is "partial 16S ribosomal RNA". It matches the Rfam family "Bacterial small subunit ribosomal RNA", at positions 30 to 526 of the family's 1533-position model. The record is from RNAcentral.